CCAUUUGGGUUUUCCAUACAAGUAUAAAGGACACAGCGUAAUUGGCGCAGGGACAGUAGUUAAUGCCUCGCUGCUAGAGGCAGAAAAAAAUGAUCUCGCUAACGUUCUUCAAUCACUACAUCGUUCGCCGCUUCGGCUGUUUCGCUCGUUACCGAAUCAGGCUGAAAUAACAUCGGAGCGAAGUGCAUUGGAAACUGUAGAUCGAUUCGCGGCAAGUGGAAUCGGCUUUUGAAUCUCAGCUUUUAAUUGUAUUGGCUUUCGAUAUUUUUCACGUUGUAUUUUCUUGUAUCUCAAAAAUUACCGAUGCACCGACCAUUUCAACUGUUUACAUUCCCAAUGUUCCUCUCGGCGAUGUUCGAUCGCUGUUUUACCGUGUUCAUCUUACGAUCGCCUACCUGUAAACAUAAAACUGUGAAAGUGUAAAAAUAAAUUGCUAGUUUCAUCUGGUGAAAACGAAAUGUAUUACUCGAUACCGCGUAUACGAUUUCUCUGCAUUACAUUUAAACGAUCGUAAUAAUCGUAAUUGCUAUUUCUCCCGUCUGCCAAUUACAGGUAAAUCUUCAAGCUAUUUUUCAUUUUCAUCCGUCGUGUUAAGAUAUUCUUGUUUAGUUACAAGCAGACAUUCGAAUAAAAAUUCAACAAAAAUACACUUAUCCGAGUUCCCUUCUGUGUUUUUCAAUGAGUAUUUGUCCUUUGAAGAUUGGAAUGGAGAAAACCACGAAUCACAUCUUCUAUUGCUACAUGCAAGUCGUUUCAAAAUUUAGCAAAUUAACGACAAAUCCCAAGAUCACUGGGAGCCUGAUUUUUCCUCGGUAUGCAAUCUCAUAAAUCUACAGUUUAUCGAUCGACAAAUAGCAUAAUUGAACAAAGAGUACUUACCUAAACAUCGAUAAUUAUAAAGUUUAUAGUCCGUUGAAAAUCAGAUCAGGAAACACGUGUGUCAUAUCUCGCUCGUGCAUUAAGCCAACCGACAGCAACCGAUGGCUGCAUUGGGAAAAUUUUGAACAGUUUUGAAAAUAAUAAUAGGUUCCAGUUUUAUUCAUUUUAUUGAAUCGCUGUCGGGUCUGGCCUACUUAUCAUUUUUCCCCUGCGAUCUCCAUUGCAUCUUUUCUCGAUAUUUCGCUCUCGUUUUCUAGACCCAAUGAAAUUGGCUCGUUAAAAAAAAUAAAAAAGAAA
Molecule: long non-coding RNA, 1176 nt
Organism: Bombus pascuorum
Lineage: Eukaryota; Metazoa; Arthropoda; Insecta; Hymenoptera; Apidae
Exons: 2
Source: RefSeq, a predicted model, not a curated record